Hordeum vulgare subsp. vulgare (domesticated barley) is the source of this 136-nucleotide non-coding RNA. The record is from Rfam. NCBI's taxonomy places the organism in Eukaryota, Viridiplantae, Streptophyta, Magnoliopsida, Poales, Poaceae.
CAUGUACUCCCUCCGUCCUGAAAUUCUUGACUUAGAUUUGUCUAGGUAUGAAUAUAUCUAGUCACGUUUUGGUAUUUAGAUACAUCCAUUUGUAGACAAAUUUAAGAAAAAAAAUUCGGAACGGAGGGAGUAGUAU